RNAcentral lists this ribosomal RNA (530 nucleotides) under Nineta itoi. Its description in RNAcentral is "partial large subunit ribosomal RNA". It matches the Rfam family "Bacterial large subunit ribosomal RNA", at positions 1811 to 2608 of the family's 2925-position model. Lineage: Eukaryota; Metazoa; Arthropoda; Insecta; Neuroptera; Chrysopidae. The record is from RNAcentral.
AAACAUGUCUUUUUGAUUAAAAUUUAAAGUCUAACCUGCCCACUGAUAAUAUAUUAAAGGGCCGCGGUAUUUUGACUGUGCAAAGGUAGCAUAAUCAUUUGUCUCUUAAUUGGAGGCUGGAAUGAAUGGUUGAAUGAAAUAUUAACUGUCUCAUUUUUAAAAUUAUAAAAAUUUAGCUUUUAAGUCAAAAGGCUUAAAUGAUUUUAGAGGACGAGAAGACCCUAUAGAUCUUUAUAAUCUUAUUAAUUUUAUAAUAUAGAAAACCAAUUAGUAGAAUUAAUAAAAUUAUUUUAUUGGGGUGAUAGGAAAAUUAAAUAAACUUUUUUUAUUAAUAAACAUUUAUUUAUGAAUAAUUGAUCCAUUUUUAGUGAUUAUAAGAUUAAGUUACCUUAGGGAUAACAGCGUAAUUUUUUUAAAGAGUUCAUAUCGAUAAAAAAGAUUGCGACCUCGAUGUUGAAUUAAAGGUUAUUUCUAGAUGUAGCAGUUUAGAGUUUAGGUCUGUUCGACCUUUGAAUCUUUACAUGAUCUGA